GACGAACGCUGGCGGCGUGCUUAACACAUGCAAGUCGAACGGAAAGGCCCUGCUUGCAGGGUACUCGAGUGGCGAACGGGUGAGUAACACGUGGGUGAUCUGCCCUGCACUUCGGGAUAAGCCUGGGAAACUGGGUCGAAUACCGGAGAGGAGCCAUUUUGAGUGUGAUGGGUGGAAAGUUUUUUCGGUGUAGGAUGAGCUCGCGGGCUAUCAGCUUGUUGGUGGGGGAAGGGCCUACCAAGGCGGCGGCGGGUAGCCGGCCUGAGAGGGUGGACGGCCACAUUGGGACUGAGAUACGGCCCAGACUCCUACGGGAGGCAGCAGUGGGGAAUAUUGCACAAUGGGCGCAAGCCUGAUGCAGCGACGCCGCGGGGGGGAUGACGGCCUUCGGGUUGGAAACUCCUUUCGCUAGGGACGAAGCUUUUUGUGACGGUACCUAGAUAAGAAGCACCGGCUAACUACGUG
This 465-nucleotide ribosomal RNA is filed under the name uncultured bacterium. RNAcentral describes it as "partial 16S ribosomal RNA". It matches the Rfam family "Bacterial small subunit ribosomal RNA", at positions 28 to 507 of the family's 1533-position model. The record is from RNAcentral.